AUUGAACGCUGGCGGCAGGCUUAACACAUGCAAGUCGAGCGGGGUGAUGGUGCUUGCACUAUCACUUAGCGGCGGACGGGUGAGUAAUGCUUAGGAAUCUGCCUAUUAGUGGGGGACAACGUCUCGAAAGGGAUGCUAAUACCGCAUACGUCCUACGGGAGAAAGCAGGGGAUCACUUGUGACCUUGCGCUAAUAGAUGAGCCUAAGUCGGAUUAGCUAGUUGGUGGGGUAAAGGCCUACCAAGGCGACGAUCUGUAGCGGGUCUGAGAGGAUGAGCCGCCACACUGGGAAUGAGACACGGCCCAGACUCCUACGGGAGGCAGCAGUGGGGAAUAUUGGACAAUGGGGGGAACCCUGAUCCAGCCAUGCCGCGUGUGUGAAGAAGGCCUUAUGGUUGUAAAGCACUUUAAGCGAGGAGGAGGCUCUUUUGGUUAAUACCCAAGAUGAGUGGACGUUACUCGCAGAAUAAGCACCGGCUAACUCUGUGCCAGCCGCCGCGGUAA
RNAcentral lists this ribosomal RNA (503 nucleotides) under uncultured bacterium. Its description in RNAcentral is "partial 16S ribosomal RNA". It matches the Rfam family "Bacterial small subunit ribosomal RNA", at positions 30 to 523 of the family's 1533-position model. The record is from RNAcentral.